UGAUUCAAAAAUCCGAAAAUCCCAUAAAAAUUUGAAAAUUUGUUUUAAAAAAAAACCCAAAAAGAGUUGUUUUUGUGGUUGUUUGUGUCUUAGGGUACCUUCCAACACAAUGAUGAGGAUUCGGUUUUUAAUUGCAUGACUGUUAAAGAGAGUUAUAAACAUGGAUGAAAGUUUGAUUUACUCUUGGUUUAUGCUUGGUUGUGGUUAUAACUUAUGAAUUCACAUGUAAUCAUAAAGGAAAAAAAAAUUAGUUUUUUGUAACAUGCUUGAAGGAAGGAACUCAAACUAACGCUACAUCCCUGAGAGAUUUGAGCCUAAACUUUAUUUGGAGAGUUAAAAUCUGUGCAUUCUUGUUUUCUAAAGUCGUUGCAUGAUCUCAUUAUUCUUUGCUUGGUUGUUACUUAGAAUGCGUUUCAUCACUUUAGUUCCAAAUGCUAGAACUCAUGCCAAUUUCAUUCAAAACAUUUCAUUGAAUUGCAUAACACGUAUUCAAGAUGAAGUUGUUUAGUAGUUACCACCAUAGCCAAAAAGCCUUCAUUCCAUACAUUUGUUUUUGUAGGUUUUAGCCCCGUUGAGCCUUGUUUAGCCUAUAUUGUUUGUUAACCACGUUAUCCUUACCUAGCCUAGAUUAGGACCAUCCAUACCCUUGUUCUUAAAGCAUAGUAAGCAUGACUUAAAAUGAAUUCCUUUUGAUCAAGGGUGUGCAGAAAACAAGUGUGGGGGAAAGUGAGCCUUGUGUAUUGUGUGCCAAAGUCUUAAAUGAGGCAUGGGGUAGAAAAGAAAAGAAAAGAAAAAAAAAAUGUGAAAAGUGUGAAAAAGAGUUGAAAGAGCAUGAAAAUGAGCUCUAAGGUGUUGGUUGUUGAAGAAUGGGUCCAAAACAGUGAAUUUGACCCUAAGUGUUGCAUGAAUUUCCCCUUUGAGUUUAAAAGUUGAGUUUUGCAUUCAAAAGUGAAUUCUAAGUGUCAAUUUCAUUGCUUUGCUUACUAUUGUUUUAAGAACGUUUGUUUACCCUUCACCUUUCUUUGUUAGCCAAUACCCAAGCCCCGUUACAACCCUUAACUUCUAUCUUGAGUGUUGUGUAUUUCAAUUUGUGGAGUUUGGGAUUGGUAUGAGCAUAUGGUGUCACUGGUUUCUCGCGUCUAAGUAGUAGCAUUCCUUUCAUGAGAUCAUAUACAUGCUUAUUAAAUUCAGAAAAAGCUUUCCUUGUUAUAACAUAUGUGAGCAUUCGUUUUCAUAUUUACAUCAAUCUUCUCACAUAUAACUAGUAUAGGGUGUGUAGUCAGAAAAUCUGUGUGAAAAUUGAGUGCAUAUCUAGUGAGGAUUUGAGCAAAUUCUCUAAGGCAUGUUACUACAUUCAAAAUCAUGUUUUACUUGGUUAAAUGCGAACUAGUACGUGGUAACUAUAAUUAAGUAUGUGCUUAAGUGUAAAGAUGGCUAAAAUCUGUGGGAAUGAUGAUUUUUAAUAUGUCAUGUGCAUUGGAAAUCCCUGAGGCAAACGUUGGAAGGUUUAGGUUGUUUUUGUUUGUUUUGUUUCGUUUUGUUUUUUCUUUUGUUUCUUUGUUUUGCUCGAGGACUAGCAAAAGCUAAGUGUGGGGAAAUUUGAUAGGAGCAUAUUUAUGCGCCUUAGUUAGCUAGUUCUUAUGCAUUUUCGUUAUGUUUUCUUAGUUAAAGUAGUCUUUUGAGCUACUUUCAUGUGUUUUCAGGUUCAAAGGGCAUAUGACAUAAAAGAUGGUAAAAUGGAGCAUUUUAGAGCAAAAGUGAGCUUGGAUUGAAAAGUACAUGCUUGGAACAAGGAAUGGACGAGUUUGAAGGUCAAGGGAGCGUAAGAAAUGAAGAAAUGAAAGUGAAGAACAAAGAAGUCGGAAUUGGCAACUAAAGUUUCUAAAGUUGGAAGUUUCUAUUCUUGGAGGUUUCCAUUUUCGAGAGUUUCUAUUCUUGGCUUUGGGCUUCUAGACGACCCAUCCCUACCUCUUGGACAAGGCCGCAUCCUCCUAGCCCAAUUCAUCUUGGAUCCUCACUUAAUGCCGCACCUAAACCCUAGCCCAUUUCCAAAUCUGAUUUCCCUAAUCUCUGCCGCACCUAGGGCCCCAAAAUACCUGAUUUCCUUGCCUUGCAAGGCAUUCUAGAAGGCCCAUCUCUAACCCUAAUCUGAUUGCUAGGGUUUGAAGUGCCUAUAUAUACUCCUUUAAACCCUUUGGCCGAACAUACCCUCUCCAUAUUCAGAAAUUCGUCCAAAACCCU
This 2241-nucleotide long non-coding RNA is filed under the name Malus domestica (apple). RNAcentral describes it as "long non-coding RNA (MDOM_LNC019959)". Lineage: Eukaryota; Viridiplantae; Streptophyta; Magnoliopsida; Rosales; Rosaceae. The record is from RNAcentral.